GGGGCCGUGGUCUAGAGGCAUGACGCCACCCUGACGCGGUGGAGGUCGCCGGUUCGAGUCCGGCCGGCCCCA
Molecule: transfer RNA, 72 nt
Filed under: Nitrososphaerota archaeon
Lineage: Archaea; Thermoproteati; Nitrososphaerota
Also listed under: 1 other name
Description: tRNA-Val
Rfam family: tRNA
About the family: Transfer RNA (tRNA) molecules are approximately 80 nucleotides in length.
Source: RNAcentral